Long non-coding RNA from Hippocampus comes (tiger tail seahorse), 672 nucleotides. RefSeq lists it as uncharacterized. Lineage: Eukaryota; Metazoa; Chordata; Actinopteri; Syngnathiformes; Syngnathidae. The transcript is spliced from 2 exons. The record is from RefSeq and is a predicted model, not a curated record.
UGCUGUCCCCCCUUCACCCCUUUUAUCUGUCCACACCACAGACAUACGCUCCCUCCAUUCGCUGAGCCGCUUAUGCCAAAAGCACACGUAGACAAACGGUCAGUGGCACUCACAGUCCCGCCUCGGGACAGUCGAAGAGUGCCAAAAAGUUUCCAACUUUCCGCUAGCGUGACAGCGGAGCAAGACCUCCAUUCGCUUGCACAGUUCGUUUCACCUUUAGCUUCCAACGUUUGAUUCCCAAGUUAGCUUCACCAUUAGCUUCAAUGUGAAGUUCCAAGGUUAGUUUCCAACAUUUAUCUCGAAUGUUAGCCCUAAGGAAGAUCACUGUUUGAUUCAAUUAGUUAGCUUCAUCAUUAUUUUCUAUCAUGAGAAGGUGUAAUUAGCUUCCAAAGUUACCUCCAAAAUUACAGUUAAAACUGUUAGCUUCCCAAGUUAGCUUCAAUAUUGGCUUUCAACGUCAACUUCCAAUUUAGGUGCCGAUGUUACUUCCCAGAGUUAGUGUCUAACAUUGUCUCAAACAUCGACUUCCAACGUUGGUCGCCUUUGUCUGCGUGUUGGAGCCGAACUCGAGUCUUCCAUCCCGCUGCCGUUCCCUGUCAAUCUGGUUGGCUAUCGGCUGUCGCGACUCCUCCGCAAACACGGAGCAGUUCAUUUGAUCGCAAAGAAAGAGCA